UUUAAGUGCAUCACAAAAUCUGUGGUGAAAAGGGAAUCCGGGUGUAAAUCCCGAGCGAUCCGGUCACUGUAAUCAGGGAGCAAGACGCAGAAAUGCCAUUGUACGAUUUGUAUGAGAAGGCGCGUUACGCGAUGAUCUGUAAGUCAGGAAACCUGCUUAUCUU
This 163-nucleotide non-coding RNA is filed under the name human gut metagenome. The record is from RNAcentral.